RNAcentral lists this ribosomal RNA (492 nucleotides) under uncultured bacterium. Its description in RNAcentral is "partial 16S ribosomal RNA". It matches the Rfam family "Bacterial small subunit ribosomal RNA", at positions 29 to 507 of the family's 1533-position model. The record is from RNAcentral.
AGUGAACGCUGGCGGUAGGCCUAACACAUGCAAGUCGAACGGCAGCACAGUAAGAGCUUGCUCUUACGGGUGGCGAGUGGCGGACGGGUGAGGAAUACAUCGGAAUCUACUUUUUCGUGGGGGAUAACGUAGGGAAACUUACGCUAAUACCGCAUACGACCUACGGGUGAAAGCAGGGGAUCUUCGGACCUUGCGCGAUUGAAUGAGCCGAUGUCGGAUUAGCUAGUUGGCGGGGUAAAGGCCCACCAAGGCGGCGAUCCGUAGCUGGUCUGAGAGGAUGAUCAGCCACACUGGAACUGAGACACGGUCCAGACUCCUACGGGAGGCAGCAGUGGGGAAUAUUGGACAAUGGGCGCAAGCCUGAUCCAGCCAUACCGCGUGGGUGAAGAAGGCCUUCGGGUUGUAAAGCCCCUUUGUUGGGAAAGAAAAGCAGCAGGUUAAUACCCCGCUGUUCUGACGGUACCCAAAGAAUAAGCACCGGCUAACUUCGUG